UGACCCCUGACCCCAUGCCGAACUCAGAAGUGAAACGCCGUAGCGCCGAUGGUAGUGUGGGGUCUCCCCAUGCGAGAGUAGGGAACUGCCAGGC
This 94-nucleotide ribosomal RNA is filed under the name Salmonella enterica subsp. enterica. The record is from RNAcentral. Lineage: Bacteria; Pseudomonadati; Pseudomonadota; Gammaproteobacteria; Enterobacterales; Enterobacteriaceae.